AGCGAACGCUGGCGGCAGGCCUAACACAUGCAAGUCGAACGCGUGUGCAAUACACGAGUGGCAGACGGGUGAGUAACACGUGGGAACGUGCCCUUCGGUUCGGAAUAACUCAGGGAAACUUGAGCUAAUACCGGAUACGCCUUACGGGAAGAUUAUCGCCGAAGGAUCGGCCCGCGUCUGAUUAGCUAGUUGGUGAGGUAACGGCUCACCAAGGCGACGAUCAGUAGCNGGUCUGAGAGGAUGAUCAGCCACACUGGGACUGAGACACGGCCCAGACUCCUACGGGAGGCAGCAGUGGGGAAUAUUGGACAAUGGGGGAAACCCUGAUCCAGCCAUGCCGCGUGAGUGAUGAAGG
Molecule: ribosomal RNA, 355 nt
Filed under: uncultured bacterium
Lineage: Bacteria
Description: bacterial SSU rRNA
Rfam family: Bacterial small subunit ribosomal RNA
Source: RNAcentral